UACGUAUGGUGCAAGCGUUAUCCGGAUUUACUGGGUGUAAAGGGAGCGCAGGCGGCGACGCAAGCCAGGAGUGAAAGCCCGGGGCCCAACCCCGGGACUGCUCUUGGAACUGCGCGGCUGGAGUGCAGGAGGGGCAGGCGGAAUUCCUGGUGUAGCGGUGAAAUGCGUAGAUAUCAGGAGGAACACCGGUGGCGAAGGCGGCCUGCUGGACUGCAACUGACGUUGAGGCCCGAAAGCGUGGGGAGCAAACAGG
This 253-nucleotide ribosomal RNA is filed under the name uncultured bacterium. Its description in RNAcentral is "partial 16S ribosomal RNA". It matches the Rfam family "Bacterial small subunit ribosomal RNA", at positions 524 to 776 of the family's 1533-position model. The record is from RNAcentral.